CUCCGAAGAGGCAUUGGGUCAACUUGCACCCUGGCGGCUUGGUUCAUUUGGAAACACCGCAAAGUAGUCAACUUUGAAGGCUUAAACCCCUAUACAACAGUUAUUAUUCGCGCCAUCCAAGACGAGGCUCGCUGUUGGGCCAAGGCUGGAGCAACAGGGUUAGAUGCAUUGAUCCCUAUAAAUUGCUAG
This 189-nucleotide ribosomal RNA is filed under the name Triticum aestivum (bread wheat). RNAcentral describes it as "partial small subunit ribosomal RNA". The record is from RNAcentral. Lineage: Eukaryota; Viridiplantae; Streptophyta; Magnoliopsida; Poales; Poaceae.